This is a long non-coding RNA of Passer domesticus (house sparrow), 1063 nucleotides long. RefSeq lists it as uncharacterized. NCBI's taxonomy places the organism in Eukaryota, Metazoa, Chordata, Aves, Passeriformes, Passeridae. The transcript is spliced from 2 exons. The record is from RefSeq and is a predicted model, not a curated record.
CGUAGAUCUGCCGGCCACAGCGGGCACACUUGGUACCGAAGCGGCUGCGGAGGAGAAGAGACGGGCGCACACAUCUGCUUUUUCCCCCGUGGAGGAGGUCUCAUCGCUGAGAGAGGACGAUGACUGUGCUGGAGUGAGCUGUGCUGGAAGGUAGCUCAGCACAGUCAAGGGGCAGACAGCCAGGAGCCCCUCACCAGGUGACUGUGUGAAAACCCCCAUUCCUGUCAGGAUGGUCAAGGGCAGGUGAUUCACAGGCAGCAGCAGAUGUGGCCCCCAUGGCCCUGAACCCCCAGGUCAGUGUGUGACACGAGGUGCCAGGCAGGUUUGAUAUCUGCAUAUUCAGUACUACUGCUGCUUAAAAUAAUAAACGCAAUGAACAGCAGCGAGAGCAUCAGGAGAGAAGGGAGCAUCUCCUCUGCCACCCCAGAGGUGGUACUGGCUCCAGCAGAGUCAGUGCACUUCCCCUCACAGCCCAGCACUGCCACUGUCACCUCAAGCUCCCGAGGGCUCCUGCCAGCCCCUCGCCACAGUGGGAGCAGAGCCUGGCAGCCCUGCCCAAGCAGCUCCAGAAUCUCUCAGUGCAGGCACAAAACACCAACAAGAAAUGACCACAGCAAGCAACAGGAGAGACCCCACAGCACAAACCCUUGGGUUCAGUGGCCAGAGCAGCCCCAGGCUCUGCGGACAGACAGACAGAGCCCAGGCCAGGCCACCAAGGCCAGUGUGCUGCCCAUGCCUGACCCCACACCGAGGAACUGCUGCCCACCACGGGCCCAGCAAGAUGUGGAAAUACUGUCCUGUGCUGGGAUUACUAAUAGCAAAACUAUUUGGGAGGAAAAGAAGGGUCUAAAUUUUUCAGCCUGACCAUAGCUGACCAAAAAAGAAGAAAAAAAAAGAGGACAUUUCUGUGCUGAAAUUAUACAGAGACUUAGCUAAGAGACUUCACUAAUUUACUUCAGAUGGGAACAUUGUAAACUGACUUUGUGCCAGCUCGUUUAUAUAAACGCACAAACAAAAGAACUGUAUUAAUUUUUUAUUUAGAAAUAAAGAUCAUUCCUGUAAA